Molecule: ribosomal RNA, 440 nt
Filed under: uncultured bacterium
Lineage: Bacteria
Description: partial 16S ribosomal RNA
Rfam family: Bacterial small subunit ribosomal RNA
Source: RNAcentral
CCUACGGGCGACAGCAGUGGGGGAUAUUGCACAAUGGGGGAAACCCUGAUGCAGCGACGCCGCGUGGGUGAAGAAGCGCCUCGGCGCGUAAAGCCCUGUCAGCAGGGAAGAAAAUGACGGUACCUGAAGAAGAAGCCCCGGCUAACUACGUGCCAGCAGCCGCGGUAAUACGUAGGGGGCAAGCGUUAUCCGGAUUUACUGGGUGUAAAGGGGGCGCAGACGGCGAUGCAAGCCAGGAGUGAAAGCCCGGGGCCCAACCCCGGGACUGCUCUUGGAACUGCGUGGCUAGAGUGCAGGAGGGGCAGGCGGAAUUCCUGGUGUAGCGGUGAAAUGCGUAGAUAUCAGGAGGAACACCGGUGGCGAAGGCGGCCUGCUGGACCGCAACUGACGUUGAGGCCCGAAAGCGUGGGGAGCAAACAGGAUUAGAUACCCCAGUAGUC